RNAcentral lists this long non-coding RNA (231 nucleotides) under Phoenix dactylifera (date palm). RNAcentral's name for it is "long non-coding RNA (PDAC_LNC019722)". The record is from RNAcentral. Lineage: Eukaryota; Viridiplantae; Streptophyta; Magnoliopsida; Arecales; Arecaceae.
AGAUAGUUCAUCCCAUAAUGCCUUUAGGCCAGUAAAAUAAGUAGCAAUGGGAGAAGUAUCUUGUUGAUGAGUAGCGAUAGACCGAGAGAGUUGGAAUAUACGAGAAGCGUUUUGUUGGGAGAAACGGUCGUUGAGUUCACUCCAUACCUUGCUGGCUUUCUCAGCAUAUAUCACGCUAUUGGCGAUGUCAUGAUGCACCGAAUUCAGGAUCCAGGAGUAUACCAUUCGGUU